This 366-nucleotide ribosomal RNA is filed under the name Staphylococcus intermedius. RNAcentral's name for it is "bacterial SSU rRNA". It matches the Rfam family "Bacterial small subunit ribosomal RNA", at positions 1014 to 1380 of the family's 1533-position model. RNAcentral also lists the same sequence under 1 other name. Lineage: Bacteria; Bacillati; Bacillota; Bacilli; Caryophanales; Staphylococcaceae. The record is from RNAcentral.
UCCUCUUCGGAGGACAAAGUGACAGGUGGUGCAUGGUUGUCGUCAGCUCGUGUCGUGAGAUGUUGGGUUAAGUCCCGCAACGAGCGCAACCCUUGAACUUAGUUGCCAUCAUUCAGUUGGGCACUCUAAGUUGACUGCCGGUGACAAACCGGAGGAAGGUGGGGAUGACGUCAAAUCAUCAUGCCCCUUAUGAUUUGGGCUACACACGUGCUACAAUGGACAAUACAAAGGGCAGCAAAACCGCGAGGUCAAGCAAAUCCCAUAAAGUUGUUCUCAGUUCGGAUUGUAGUCUGCAACUCGACUACAUGAAGCUGGAAUCGCUAGUAAUCGUAGAUCAGCAUGCUACGGUGAAUACGUUCCCGGGUC